Molecule: ribosomal RNA, 693 nt
Filed under: Salmonella enterica subsp. enterica serovar Rissen
Lineage: Bacteria; Pseudomonadati; Pseudomonadota; Gammaproteobacteria; Enterobacterales; Enterobacteriaceae
Description: partial 23S ribosomal RNA
Rfam family: Bacterial large subunit ribosomal RNA
Source: RNAcentral
AGACCCGAAACCCGGUGAUCUAGCCAUGGGCAGGUUGAAGGUUGGGUAACACUAACUGGAGGACCGAACCGACUAAUGUUGAAAAAUUAGCGGAUGACCUGUGGCUGGGGGUGAAAGGCCAAUCAAACCGGGAGAUAGCUGGUUCUCCCCGAAAGCUAUUUAGGUAGCGCCUCGUGAAUUCAUCUCCGGGGGUAGAGCACUGUUUCGGCUAGGGGGCCAUCCCGGCUUACCAACCCGAUGCAAACUGCGAAUACCGGAGAAUGUUAUCACGGGAGACACACGGCGGGUGCUAACGUCCGUCGUGAAGAGGGAAACAACCCAGACCGCCAGCUAAGGUCCCAAAGUCAUGGUUAAGUGGGAAACGAUGUGGGAAGGCCCAGACAGCCAGGAUGUUGGCUUAGAAGCAGCCAUCAUUUAAAGAAAGCGUAAUAGCUCACUGGUCGAGUCGGCCUGCGCGGAAGAUGUAACGGGGCUAAACCAUGCACCGAAGCUGCGGCAGCGAACGUAUCACUUAAAGCGAUUCAGCGGAUGACGAUUGACGGAGCGAAGCGACGUCAAAGCGUAUACAAAGUCGAGUCGGUUUAAGGAUACGUUCGUUGGGUAGGGGAGCGUUCUGUAAGCCUGCGAAGGUGGCCUGUGAGGGUUGCUGGAGGUAUCAGAAGUGCGAAUGCUGACAUAAGUAACGAUAAAGCG